UCUCCCAACCCUUGUACCAGUGCUAGAAUUGUAAAUCACUGGGACAAGGGCUGGAUGAGA
RNAcentral lists this microRNA precursor (60 nucleotides) under Scyliorhinus torazame (cloudy catshark). Its description in RNAcentral is "Sto-Mir-150_pre stem-loop". The record is from RNAcentral. Lineage: Eukaryota; Metazoa; Chordata; Chondrichthyes; Carcharhiniformes; Scyliorhinidae.